GAGAAGGGGGAGGGGUUAAAGAAGAGACACACACACAGCAGCACACCGAGCAGCACGCGAACAAGACAGACGAGGAGACGAGAGAGCUAGUUAGUGAAAAAAACAACACGGUGGAAAGUGGAAAGGUGAGAAACUGGAUAGGAAACGCAGUGAAAUAUGGACUCAUUUCAAUUUAAUUGAUAAUUCAAAGGCAGCGUGUAGACUGUGCAAGGUUAAAAUAUCCCAUAGAUCAGGCUCCACAAAUAACCUGCACAGGCACAUCAGAAAUAUCCACCCAUCAGUACAAUUUGAAGAGAAAGAACAAGCAAGGGAACCAGCUAUUAAUGAAGGUGCUAGUGUGUCUGCAACUGUUGCUGCUGCUGCAAUGUCACAACUGCCUAGAUGUACAACCCAGAGCUCUAUGAGCCACUUUAUGCAAAAAGCUAUAAAACCAGCAAAACAGAACACAAUUGACGAGGAACUGUAAAUUUCCCCAGUGUGGGACAAAUAAAAGAUAUCUUAUAUCUUAUAAAAUGAUUGCAAUGGAUUUUCAGCCAUUUUGUGUUGGCUGUGUGUUGUAGCAACAUCUGUCCCCCAGAGAGGAGAAACAGGAUCAACCCCUCAAAGCUGAGGCACUUGGUUUUUCUUCAAGCCAAUCUUCGCUAAAGACAAGCUAAAACAUUUAGCUGGAUGCUGUUUUUUCUUUUUGUUUUACAAAUUUUAAUUUAUAAUUUGUUGUGUGGUAUUCAACGCUUACUUAUGUUGUUUUACUAUAAAUAGUUAAACGCUUAUAAAUAUACACAUUCAGAGAUUGGAACUUUUUGACGACCUUGUUUUGAGAUGGGUCUUUGUACUUUGUUUUUAUUUUUGUAGCACUCCAUGUUGUACUCCAUGUUGAGUAUGUUCAGAAGAAUAUAAAUAAAGCCAUAUAAAUAAUAAA
This is a long non-coding RNA of Hippocampus zosterae (dwarf seahorse), 919 nucleotides long. RefSeq lists it as uncharacterized. The record is from RefSeq and is a predicted model, not a curated record. Lineage: Eukaryota; Metazoa; Chordata; Actinopteri; Syngnathiformes; Syngnathidae. The transcript is spliced from 2 exons.